RNAcentral lists this ribosomal RNA (779 nucleotides) under uncultured bacterium. Its description in RNAcentral is "bacterial SSU rRNA". It matches the Rfam family "Bacterial small subunit ribosomal RNA", at positions 1 to 760 of the family's 1533-position model. The record is from RNAcentral.
CCCUUAGAGUUUGAUCCUGGCUCAGAAUCAACGCUGGCGGCGUGCCUCAGACAUGCAAGUCGAACGCGAAAGGUUCCUUCGGGAACCGAGUAGAGUGGCGCACGGGUGAGUAACACGUAGGUAAUUUGCCUUUGGGUGGGGAAUAACUCAGGGAAACUUGAGCUAAUACCGCAUAAUGCAGCGGCUCGACAUCGAGACAGUUGUUAAAGCGGGGGAUUCGCAAGAACCUCGCGCCUGAAGAGAAGCCUGCGGCAGAUUAGCUAGUUGGCAAGGUAAUGGCUUACCAAGGCGACGAUCUGUAACCGGCCUGAGAGGGCGGUCGGUCACACUGACACUGACAUACGGGUCAGACUCCUACGGGAGGCAGCAGUCGGGAAUUUUGGGCAAUGGGCGAAAGCCUGACCCAGCAACGCCGCGUGAAGGAUGAAAUUUUUCGGAAUGUAAACUUCGCAAGAACGGGAAGAAUAAGUAGAAGCUAAUACCUUCUAUGAUGACGGUACCGUUUGUAAGCUCCGGCUAACUCCGUGCCAGCAGCCGCGGUAAUACGGGGGGAGCAAGCGUUGUUCGGAUUUACUGGGCGUAAAGGGCGCGUAGGCGGUCGUGACAAGUCACUUGUGAAAUCUCCGGGCUUAACUCGGAACGGUCAAGUGAUACUGUCGGACUAGAGUACAGAAGGGGCAACUGGAAUUCUCGGUGUAGCGGUGAAAUGCGUAGAUAUCGAGAGGAACACCUGCGGCGAAGCGGGUUGCUGGGCUGAUACUGACGCUGAGCGCGAAAGC